Molecule: ribosomal RNA, 432 nt
Filed under: uncultured bacterium
Lineage: Bacteria
Description: partial 16S ribosomal RNA
Rfam family: Bacterial small subunit ribosomal RNA
Source: RNAcentral
CCUACGGGUGGCAGCAGUCGAGAAUUUUUCUCAAUGGGGGAAACCCUGAAGGAGCGACGCCGCGUGGAGGAUGAAGGCUUUCGGGUUGUAAACUCCUGUCAUUUGAGAACUAGUAUCAGAAGAGGAAGAGACGGCUAACUCUGUGCCAGCAGCCGCGGUAAUACAGAGGUCUCAAGCGUUGUUCGGAUUCAUUGGGCGUAAAGGGUGCGUAGGUGGCGCGCUAAGUCAGGUGUGAAAUUUCGGAGCUUAACUCCGAAACUGCAUUUGAUACUGGCGUGCUUGAGGACUGGAGAGGAGACUGGAAUUCAUGGUGUAGCAGUGAAAUGCGUAGAGAUCAUGAGGAAGACCAGUGGCGAAGGCGGGUCUCUGGACAGUCCUGACACUGAGGCACGAAGGCCAGGGGAGCAAACGGGAUUAGAUACCCUUGUAGUC